UGGGGAAUAUUGGACAAUGGGGGAAACCCUGAUCCAGCCAUGCCGCGUGUGUGAAGAAGGCCUUAGGGUUGUAAAGCACUUUCAGUGGGGAGAAAGGUUGUUUACUUAAUACGUAAGCAAAUUGAUGUUACCCACAGAAGAAGCACCGGCUAACUCCGUGCCAGCAGCCGCGGUAAUACGGAGGGUGCAAGCGUUAAUCGGAAUUACUGGGCGUAAAGCGCACGUAGGCGGUUUGAUAAGCCAGCCGUGAAAGCCCCGGGCUCAACCUGGGAAUUGCGGUUGGAACUGUCAAGCUGGAGUACAGUAGAGGGGUGUGGAAUUUCAGGUGUAGCGGUGAAAAUGCGUAGAUAUCUGAAGGAACAUCAGUGGCGAAGGCGACACCCUGGACUGAUACUGACGCUGAGGUGCGAAAGCGUGGGGGAGCAAACAGGAUUAGAUACCC
Molecule: ribosomal RNA, 442 nt
Filed under: uncultured bacterium
Lineage: Bacteria
Description: bacterial SSU rRNA
Rfam family: Bacterial small subunit ribosomal RNA
Source: RNAcentral